This is a long non-coding RNA of Dendronephthya gigantea, 601 nucleotides long. RefSeq lists it as uncharacterized. NCBI's taxonomy places the organism in Eukaryota, Metazoa, Cnidaria, Anthozoa, Malacalcyonacea, Nephtheidae. The record is from RefSeq and is a predicted model, not a curated record. The transcript has 3 exons.
GUGAAGCAAAAAACAUGGCGGAUUUCGCCCUUCUGCGCUUGCGCAGAAGCUUUGCUGACGCCACAUGGUCCCCUUUGCCCAUGGUAAUUACCACUGACCAGGCUCAAAUAUGAGCCCGCUACAAGAGAAUGCUCCCCCCUGUUUUUUUUUUUUAAAUUUUAUCUGUGAAAAGUGUGCAAAGAAUAUAGGCAAUACGAAUCUUUUGUACGCCUCCGCCACAAAUACGGUGUUUUGCAUUUACGAAGGAAAAAUAUCUUUUUGAAUCUGUCUGAUAUUUAAACUUCUACAAGCCCGAGGAAAGCGAGAAGAAAAGUCAGAAGCCUUGAAGUGAAACAGGCAAAAAAGCCCGGAAAACCAGAUGACUAAUUUGAAUUCUUAGCUAACUGGUAUUAACAGCCAUAACAGGCCUAUCAUUUUGAAGCCAAUAAACCAAUGCAUCAUCGACUCUGUAGGCCUAAGGCCUUAUACAGGACUGUGACAAACUAAUGAGUUGAUGUGUUUAACAAGAUUUGCACAUUAUGUGGUAUCACUGGUUCAUGUAUAAACAGAUGAAAUGGCAUCAUGAUACUUUGAGAACAAGAAUAAUAGUUGACUGGACUGU